UACUGCCAAGUUCAUUCUACAGGAUG
RNAcentral lists this non-coding RNA (26 nucleotides) under Mus musculus (house mouse). Lineage: Eukaryota; Metazoa; Chordata; Mammalia; Rodentia; Muridae. The record is from RNAcentral.